Molecule: unclassified non-coding RNA, 379 nt
Filed under: uncultured bacterium
Lineage: Bacteria
Description: contains 16S-23S intergenic spacer region
Source: RNAcentral
UCCGGUUUGACACCGGCAGUCUCCCUAGAGUGCCCGGCAUAACCCGCUGGUAACUAAUCACAAGGGUUGCGCUCGUUAAUGGACUUAACCAAACAUCUCACGACACGAGCUGACGACGGCCAUGCAUCAUCUGUCACUUGGCUCAAUAAAGCACUCUUUCCUUUCGGAAAAAUUCCAAGGAUGUCAAACCCUGGUAAGGUUCUUCGUUUAUCAUCGAAUUAAAGAACACGAUCCACCGCUUGUGCGGGUCCCCGUCAAUUCCUUUAUGUUUUAGUCUUGCGACCGUACUCCACAGGCGGGAUACUUAACGCGUUAGCUUCGCUACUGAAGGGGUCGAUACCUCCAACAGCUAGUAUCCAUCGUUUACGGCGUGGACUAC